RNAcentral lists this ribosomal RNA (499 nucleotides) under uncultured bacterium. RNAcentral describes it as "bacterial SSU rRNA". It matches the Rfam family "Bacterial small subunit ribosomal RNA", at positions 24 to 518 of the family's 1533-position model. The record is from RNAcentral.
UCAGGAUGAACGCUAGCGGCAGGCUUAACACAUGCAAGUCGAGGGGCAUCGGGAGUAGCAAUACUGCCGGCGACCGGCGCAAGGGUGCGUAACGCGUGAGCAACAUGCCCGUAUCAGGGGGAUAAUCCAUGGAAACGUGGUCUAAUACCCCAUAGUAAUUAUGUAAGGCAUCUUAUAUAAUUUAAAGCUUUGGUGGAUACGGAUUGGCUCGCGUGACAUUAGCUGGAUGGUAAGGUAACGGCUUACCAUGGCUACGAUGUCUAGGGGUUCUGAGAGGAAGGUCCCCCACACUGGAACUGAGACACGGUCCAGACUCCUACGGGAGGCAGCAGUGAGGAAUAUUGGACAAUGGAUGGAAAUCUGAUCCAGCCAUGCCGCGUGCAAGGAAGACGGCCCUAUGGGUUGUAAACUGCUUUUGUAUGGGAGCAAUAAGGGCUACGUGUAGUCCGAUGAGAGUACCAUACGAAUAAGCACCGGCUAACUCCGUGCCAGCCGCCGC